This 226-nucleotide ribosomal RNA is filed under the name uncultured bacterium. RNAcentral describes it as "partial 16S ribosomal RNA". It matches the Rfam family "Bacterial small subunit ribosomal RNA", at positions 524 to 747 of the family's 1533-position model. The record is from RNAcentral.
UACGUAGGGUGCGAGCGUUAAUCGGAAUUACUGGGCGUAAAGCGUGCGCAGGCGGUUUUGUAAGCCAGAUGUGAAAUCCCCGGGCUUAACCUGGGAAUGGCAUUUGGGACUGCAAGGCUCGAGUGCGGCAGAGGAGACGUGGAAUUCCUGGUGUAGCAGUGAAAUGCGUAGAUAUCAGGAGGAACACCGAUGGCGAAGGCCAGGUCUCUGGGCUGACACUGACGCU